ACGCUGGCGGCAGGCCUAACACAUGCAAGUCGAGCGGUAGAGAGAAGCUUGCUUCUCUUGAGAGCGGCGGACGGGUGAGUAAUGCCUAGGAAUCUGCCUGGUAGUGGGGGAUAACGUUCGGAAACGGACGCUAAUACCGCAUACGUCCUACGGGAGAAAGCAGGGGACCUUCGGGCCUUGCGCUAUCAGAUGAGCCUAGGUCGGAUUAGCUAGUUGGUGGGGUAAUGGCUCACCAAGGCGACGAUCCGUAACUGGUCCGAGAGGAUGAUCAGUCACACUGGAACUGAGACACGGUCCAGACUCCUACGGGAGGCAGCAGUGGGGAAUAUUGGACAAUGGGCGAAAGCCUGAUCCAGCCAUGCCGCGUGUGUGAAGAAGGUCUUCGGAUUGUAAAGCACUUUAAGUUGGGAGGAAGGGCAGUUGCCUAAUACGUAACUGUUUUGACGUUACCGACAGAAUAAGCACCGGCUAACUCUGUGCCAGCAGCCGCGGUAAUACAGAGGGUGCAAGCGUUAAUCGGAAUUACUGGGCGUAAAGCGCGCGUAGGUGGUUUGCUAAGUUGGAUGUGAAAUCCCCGGGCUCAACCUGGGAACUGCAUUCAAAACUGACUGACUAGAGUAUGGUAGAGGGUGGUGGAAUUUCCUGUGUAGCGGUGAAAUGCGUAGAUAUAGGAAGGAACACCCAGUGGCGAAGGCGACCACCUGGACUGAUACUGACACUGAGGUGCGAAGGCGUGGGGAGCAAAC
RNAcentral lists this ribosomal RNA (746 nucleotides) under uncultured bacterium. Its description in RNAcentral is "bacterial SSU rRNA". It matches the Rfam family "Bacterial small subunit ribosomal RNA", at positions 33 to 773 of the family's 1533-position model. The record is from RNAcentral.